UUUAAGGUCUAACCUGCCCAAUGAGGAUUUAAAUGGCCGCAGUAUUUUGACUGUGCAAAGGUAGCAUAAUUAUUAGUUUUUUAAUUGAAAGCUUGUAUGAAGGGUUGGACGAGAUAAAAUCUGUCUUUAUUUAAAUUAAAGUAUAAUUUAACUUUUAAGUCAAAAGGCUUAAAUGUUUAUAAAAGACGAGAAGACCCUAUAGAUCUUUAUUUAGUUAAGAUUUUAAUAAUUUAGGAUUAUUUUAAUUUGGAGUUUUAAUUAAAUUUUAUUGGGGUAAUAUAAAGAUUAAAUUAAUUCUUUUUAUUUAUGACAUUAAUUUAUGAAUAUGUGAUCCAUUAAUAUUGAUUAUAAGAUUAAGUUACCUUAGGGAUAACAGCGUAAUUUUUUUGGAGAGCUCAUAUCGAUAAGAAAGUUUGCGACCUCGAUGUUGGAUUAAAAAUUAGCUUGGGUGCAGAAGCUCAAGAUUUUGGUCUGUUCGACCAUUAAAUUUUUACAUGAUCUGAGUUCAGACCGGCGUAAGCCAGGUCGGUUUCUAUCUUUAUUCAGAUAAAAUAUUUUAGUACGAAAGGACCAAGUAUWUAGUAUAAUUAUAUUUAUUUUUU
This 602-nucleotide ribosomal RNA is filed under the name Cicindela (Rivacindela) sp. JP-53b. RNAcentral's name for it is "partial 16S ribosomal RNA". It matches the Rfam family "Bacterial large subunit ribosomal RNA", at positions 1844 to 2726 of the family's 2925-position model. The record is from RNAcentral. Lineage: Eukaryota; Metazoa; Arthropoda; Insecta; Coleoptera; Carabidae.